RNAcentral lists this ribosomal RNA (472 nucleotides) under uncultured bacterium. RNAcentral's name for it is "partial 16S ribosomal RNA". It matches the Rfam family "Bacterial small subunit ribosomal RNA", at positions 28 to 507 of the family's 1533-position model. The record is from RNAcentral.
GACGAACGCUGGCGGCGUGCUUAACACAUGCAAGUCGAACGAUGAACCCGGAGCUUGCUCUGGGGGAUUAGUGGCGAACGGGUGAGUAACACGUGAGUAACCUGCCCUGGACUCUGGGAUAAGCGUUGGAAACGACGUCUAAUACCGGAUAGGACCUUGGAUCGCAUGAUCUGGGGUGGAAAGUUUUUUCGGUCUGGGAUGGACUCGCGGCCUAUCAGCUUGUUGGUGAGGUAAUGGCUCACCAAGGCGUCGACGGGUAGCCGGCCCGAGAGGGUGACCGGCCACACUGGGACUGAGACACGGCCCAGACUCCUACGGGAGGCAGCAGUGGGGAAUAUUGCACAAUGGGCGAAAGCCUGAUGCAGCAACGCCGCGUGCGGGAUGACGGCCUUCGGGUUGUAAACCGCUUUUAGUAGGGAAGAAGGGCUUCGGCUUGACGGUACCUGCAGAAAAAGGACCGGCUAACUACGUG